GGACGAACGCUGGCGGCGGCGCCUAACACAUGCAAGUCGAACGGAGCUGUUUCGUCUGAAGUUUUCGGAUGGAAGAGAGUUCAGCUUAGUGGCGAACGGGUGAGUAACACGUGAGCAACCUGCCUUUCAGUGGGGGACAACAUUUGGAAACGAAUGCUAAUACCGCAUAAGACCACAGUGUCGCAUGGCACAGGGGUCAAAGGAUUUAUCCGCUGAAAGAUGGGCUCGCGUCCGAUUAGCUAGAUGGUGAGGUAACGGCCCACCAUGGCGACGAUCGGUAGCCGGACUGAGAGGUUGAACGGCCACAUUGGGACUGAGACACGGCCCAG
This 329-nucleotide ribosomal RNA is filed under the name uncultured bacterium. RNAcentral's name for it is "bacterial SSU rRNA". It matches the Rfam family "Bacterial small subunit ribosomal RNA", at positions 27 to 334 of the family's 1533-position model. The record is from RNAcentral.